Molecule: long non-coding RNA, 815 nt
Organism: Ostrea edulis (European flat oyster)
Lineage: Eukaryota; Metazoa; Mollusca; Bivalvia; Ostreida; Ostreidae
Exons: 2
Source: RefSeq, a predicted model, not a curated record
GCAGUGUUCUACGAGACAAAGUGGGAAGUCAAACGGCUUGCGUGACCUAGGCUACGAUUAACGAGGAAAUAUUAUUCAGUUCCUUGUUUUAGGCCUUUGGUAUGGCACGGUCAGAGUUCGAACCCACAACCUUCUACCGUAGAAUAAUAUUUUUAUCGAGACGGUAAGCUACAUUGGAACAGGAAAUAUUUAUCCAACAAUAUAAAGUUAUCCAGGGAUAAAAUUUCCCGGGAUGUGGGGCUAUAGACAGCAAAAGGUGGAUAACUGUCGUAAGAAAAUUAGGAAAAGUUUGAGCAUCGCAUCUAUGUGUGUGCCGUUAGGAAAAUCUGUCGGAUUAAACUAUGUAUGUGCUGUAUCCAGCUCCUGAAUAGAUGACGGUACAGGUGGUGCUCUACAGAAAUACCGAUCUCGUCAGUCACAGUUGAAGUCUUCACAUUGAAAGACCCAGGCUGUGGCAGCGUGAUGGGAGCUGGCUGGAAAUCAGAGCCAGGUUGGAAGCUAUCAGCAGACGAGAAAUUUGUAAGAUACGUGUAUGCCGACACACCGUCCUGAGGAAGUUCCGGUUGUAGAAUUUGAUGGGUGGAAUCAACACGACACCAGCAGCGACUAUGAAGUGAUGGCCCAGCUUGUCAACACCAUGGACAUGAAGUAUAUAUGUAGGUUUGAAUCCAUCUUACCUAUAACUUUGAUACUAAUGCAACAGGAAGAAAACACCCAAGAACUGCUGCAAUUGUUAAUUUCAUUGUAUGGUGUAAUUAUAUGUAUGCCGAUUUCCCAUUCCAUUACCUUUCAUAAAAUGCAGAAUGUAUCCUAAA